AACAGGUUAUACCCAUAGUUGUUAAUCCAUAACAGGUUGUAACCAUAGCCUAUCAUCUAUAACAGGUUAUAACCUUAGCAUAUCAUCCAUAACAGGUUAUACCCAUAGUUGUUAAUCCAUAACAGGUUGUAACCAUAGCCUAUCAUCUAUAACAGGUUAUAACCUUAGCAUAUCAUCCAUAACAGGUUAUACCCAUAGUUGUUAAUCCAUAACAGGUUGUAACCAUAGCCUAUCAUCUAUAACAGGUUAUAACCUUAGCAUAUCAUCCAUAACAGGUUAUACCCAUAGUUGUUAAUCCAUAACAGGUUGUAACCAUAGCCUAUCAUCUAUAACAGGUUAUAACCUUAGCAUAUCAUCCAUAACAGGUUAUACCCAUAGCCUUUAAUCCAUAACAGGUGUUGAAGGCCACAUUCGUUGGGUGGUUGGGUGCUCCAACCCUUUUAAUGGCACAGUGAUCUCUCAUUAGUAAAACCCAAUAUCCCAUUAUCCAACAGACACACCAGCUCUCUCGUCAGCACAUUUGGCUAAAUGAAGGUCACCUUGAGAGGAGUCCCAAAAGGGUACCCUGUUCCCUAUGGGGCCCUGGUCUGAAAAGUAGUACACUACAUAGGGAAUAGGGUGUAAUUUGGGACUUAAGCCUUGAAUCCCUCUAUGUUUACAAACAGUACACAGAGACCCUUUCUUGUCCUGUCCAGUCCUGACUGGGAAAAGUCUCAGAGCACAGCUAGCUAUCGCAAACUCUUUUGUCUUUCAAAUUUUGACUAACUUUCAACUUCAAAUUGUACUUGUUAUUCAAAUAAAUAGACAAUGUAGACAGUUUGUCUAUGUUGUUGUCCAUGAUAUGUGUCUAUGUAAUUUCGCAGCUCAAAGUUACUAUGGAUGUGUUCCUUUUCUGAGAAGAAGUGCUACCCCGUACAGUGUCCUAACUAGGACUGGAGUAACGGCUUGUGACGACGACUCUAUCCUAAUAUGGAUACCGUAAUCCUGAAGUGGCUGAUGGGAGAAUGACAACAGGAAGAGGCUAUUCAAUGGGACAGACACCUCUCAGACAGUAUUUAGAAAACAGACUUGAAUAUGUUUUCCUAUUUGUUUUUGUCUUAAGCUAAACUAAAUGUUCCAGAAUGAUGAAAUUGUUUUUCAUAAAUAAAUAAAAGUAAGAGUAAU
This 1164-nucleotide long non-coding RNA is filed under the name Salmo salar (Atlantic salmon). RNAcentral's name for it is "lncRNA (ENSSSAG00000083511.1)". The record is from RNAcentral. Lineage: Eukaryota; Metazoa; Chordata; Actinopteri; Salmoniformes; Salmonidae.